AUGGUGGGAGACCAGCCGUGCUCCAUCAGAGGCGGUUUGGUUACAAGUCUCCGAGCAGUACCUGCUCAGCUGAAAAUUCACGCUGCCAAGUUAGAAGCCAUCGUGUACAUUCAGGAUGCAUCUCUGCUCCUGGCUAAACAAAGCCAUCAGAGGCGGUUUGGUUACAAGUCUCCGAGCAGUACCUGCUCAGCUGAAAAUUCACGCUGCCAAGUUAGAAGCCAUCGUGUACAUUCAGGAUGCAUCUCUGCUCCUGGCUAAACAAAGGUAAAUACUCCUCAUGUAAGACAUGCUAAGUAGUAG
This 300-nucleotide long non-coding RNA is filed under the name Homo sapiens (human). Its description in RNAcentral is "non-protein coding lnc-SOX4-4:1". Lineage: Eukaryota; Metazoa; Chordata; Mammalia; Primates; Hominidae. The record is from RNAcentral.